UACGAAGGGUGCAAACGUUGCUCGGAAUUAUUGGGCGUAAAGCGCACGUAGGCGGCAUUGCAAGUCGGAUGUGAAAUCCCUCGGCUUAACCAAGGAAGUGCAUCCGAAACUGCAGUGCUUGAGUACUUAAGAGGAUCGCGGAAUUCCCGGUGUAGAGGUGAAAUUCGUAGAUAUCGGGAGGAACACCAGUGGCGAAGGCGGCGAUCUGGGGAAGAUACUGACGCUGAGGUGCGAAAGCGUGGGGAGCAAACAGG
This 254-nucleotide ribosomal RNA is filed under the name uncultured bacterium. Its description in RNAcentral is "partial 16S ribosomal RNA". It matches the Rfam family "Bacterial small subunit ribosomal RNA", at positions 524 to 776 of the family's 1533-position model. The record is from RNAcentral.